Molecule: ribosomal RNA, 377 nt
Filed under: Streptococcus australis
Lineage: Bacteria; Bacillati; Bacillota; Bacilli; Lactobacillales; Streptococcaceae
Description: bacterial SSU rRNA
Rfam family: Bacterial small subunit ribosomal RNA
Source: RNAcentral
GAUGAACGCUGGCGGCGUGCCUAAUACAUGCAAGUAGAACGCUGAAGGAAGGAGCUUGCUCUUUCCGGAUGAGUUGCGAACGGGUGAGUAACGCGUAGGUAACCUGCCUGGUAGCGGGGGAUAACUAUUGGAAACGAUAGCUAAUACCGCAUAACAGUAGAUGUUGCAUGACAUCUGCUUGAAAGGGGCAAUUGCUCCACUACCAGAUGGACCUGCGUUGUAUUAGCUAGUUGGUGAGGUAACGGCUCACCAAGGCGACGAUACAUAGCCGACCUGAGAGGAUGAUCGGCCACACUGGGACUGAGACACGGCCCAGACUCCUACGGGAGGCAGCAGUAGGGAAUCUUCGGCAAUGGACGGAAGUCUGACCGAGCAAC